This 626-nucleotide ribosomal RNA is filed under the name Fusarium domesticum. RNAcentral describes it as "eukaryotic LSU rRNA". It matches the Rfam family "Eukaryotic large subunit ribosomal RNA", at positions 1 to 651 of the family's 3401-position model. Lineage: Eukaryota; Fungi; Ascomycota; Sordariomycetes; Hypocreales; Nectriaceae. The record is from RNAcentral.
UUGACCUCGGAUCAGGUAGGAAUACCCGCUGAACUUAAGCAUAUCAAUAAGCGGAGGAAAAGAAACCAACAGGGAUUGCCCUAGUAACGGCGAGUGAAGCGGCAACAGCUCAAAUUUGAAAUCUGGCUCUAGGGCCCGAGUUGUAAUUUGUAGAGGAUACUUUUGGUGAGGUGCCUUCCGAGUUCCCUGGAACGGGACGCCAUAGAGGGUGAGAGCCCCGUCUGGUUGGAUACCGAGCCUCUGUAAAGUUCCUUCGACGAGUCGAGUAGUUUGGGAAUGCUGCUCUAAAUGGGAGGUAUAUGUCUUCUAAAGCUAAAUAUUGGCCAGAGACCGAUAGCGCACAAGUAGAGUGAUCGAAAGAUGAAAAGCACUUUGAAAAGAGAGUUAAAAAGCACGUGAAAUUGUUGAAAGGGAAGCGCUUGUGACCAGACUUGGGCUUGGUUAAUCAUCCGGCGUUCUCGCCGGUGCACUUUUCCAGCUCAGGCCAGCAUCAGUUUGCUUCGGGGGAUAAAAGUUUCGGGAAUGUGGCUCCUUCGGGAGUGUUAUAGCCCGUUGCAUAAUACCCUGGAGCGGACUGAGGUUCGCGCAUCUGCAAGGAUGCUGGCAUAAUGGUCAUCAGCGACCCG